UACAGAGGUCUCAAGUGUUGUUCGGAUUCAUUGGGCGUAAAGGGUGCGUAGGCGGCGCGGUAAGUCGGGUGUGAAAUCUCGGGGCUUAACUCCGAAACUGCAUUCGAUACUGCCGUGCUUGAGGACUGGAGAGGAGACUGGAAUUUACGGUGUAGCGGUGAAAUGCGUAGAUAUCGUAAGGAAGACCAGUGGCGAAGGCGGGUCUCUGGACAGUUCCUGACGCUGAGGCACGAAGGCCAGGGGAGCAAACGGG
This 253-nucleotide ribosomal RNA is filed under the name uncultured bacterium. Its description in RNAcentral is "partial 16S ribosomal RNA". It matches the Rfam family "Bacterial small subunit ribosomal RNA", at positions 524 to 776 of the family's 1533-position model. The record is from RNAcentral.